CCUAACACAUGCAAGUCGAACGGUAACAGGAAGAAGCUUGCUUCUUUGCUGACGAGUGGCGGACGGGUGAGUAAUGUCUGGGAAACUGCCUGAUGGAGGGGGAUAACUACUGGAAACGGUAGCUAAUACCGCAUAACGUCGCAAGACCAAAGAGGGGGACCUUCGGGCCUCUUGCCAUCGGAUGUGCCCAGAUGGGAUUAGCUUGUGGUGGGGUAACGGCUCACCAGGCGACGAUCCCUAGCUGGUCUGAGAGGAUGACCAGCCACACUGGAACUGAGACACGGUCCAGACUCCUACGGGAGGCAGCAGUGGGGAAUAUUGCACAAUGGGCGCAAGCCUGAUGCAGCCAUGCCGCGUGUAUGAAGAAGGCCUUCGGGUUGUAAAGUACUUUCAGCGGGGAGGAAGGGAGUAAAGUUAAUACCUUUGCUCAUUGACGUUACCCGCAGAAGAAGCACCGGCUAACUCCGUGCCAGCAGCCGCGGUAAUACGGAGGGUGCAAGCGUUAAUCGGAAUUACUGGGCGUAAAGCGCACGCAGGCGGUUUGUUAAGUCAGAUGUGAAAUCCCCGGGCUCAACCUGGGAACUGCAUCUGAUACUGGCAAGCUUGAGUCUCGUAGAGGGGGGUAGAAUUCCAGGUGUAGCGGUGAAAUGCGUAGAGAUCUGGAGGAAUACCGGUGGCGAAGGCGGCCCCCUGA
This 694-nucleotide ribosomal RNA is filed under the name Escherichia sp. RNAcentral's name for it is "bacterial SSU rRNA". It matches the Rfam family "Bacterial small subunit ribosomal RNA", at positions 47 to 732 of the family's 1533-position model. The record is from RNAcentral. Lineage: Bacteria; Pseudomonadati; Pseudomonadota; Gammaproteobacteria; Enterobacterales; Enterobacteriaceae.